GAUGCCAUAUAUGGAUACGAUUAUUUGACACGCCUCUUCUACUUUUCUAUAAAGACCGACUGUUGUGCCACACGUGCUGAACAUCAGCAAGUCGUUCACACAUCGUUUACUUGCUCUACCUCAACACGCUGAACCAUUCAUCAUGAUGACCCUGCUCCGGGUAGCUGUGACCCUGCUGCUGGUGUGUGUCAUGGUGGAACUCAGUCUGCAAGGAGACCCCUGUGCUGAUAAGAGUGGCUGGCUGUUACUUAAGUGUUGUCUUCAGAACCCGGUAUCACCGUCAUGCCGUACCAGUGAUGGAUAGCGAACACGGUAGGGUCUCGUUGCCAUUGGUAUCCGAAGCCACUUCUGGUCAAGAGUAACACCAUGCCUAACUGCUACCGGUGGCGAAUAACCACCAGUCUUGUCACUAGUGUAGCGAAUUGUAACACAUUCAGCAGAAAUGGUUUCGUUUUAUCUGCUCCGAAAUGAAUAUAUUUUGUAUGAACGCAAUGCUUUCGACUUAAUCUUGAAUUGAAUAAAUCACAUAGAGCUCA
Haliotis rufescens (red abalone) is the source of this 536-nucleotide long non-coding RNA. RefSeq lists it as uncharacterized. Lineage: Eukaryota; Metazoa; Mollusca; Gastropoda; Lepetellida; Haliotidae. The transcript has 4 exons. The record is from RefSeq and is a predicted model, not a curated record.